GACGAACGCUGGCGGCGUGCUUAACACAUGCAAGUCGAACGGACUACUUUGCUUCGGUAAGGUGGUUAGUGGCGAACGGGUGAGUAACGCGUAGACAACCUACCUCUUAGAUGGGGACAACAUCGCGAAAGCGGUGCUAAUACCGACUGAAGUGACUUUCCUGCAUGGGAGAGAUACUAAAGGUGGCCUCUAUUUAUAAGCUACCACUGAGAGAUGGGUCUGCGUCUGAUUAGCUAGUUGGCGGGGUAACGGCCCACCAAGGCGACGAUCAGUAGCCGGGCUGAGAGGAUGAACGGCCACAUUGGGACUGGGACACGGCCCAAACUCCUACGGGAGGCAGCAGUGGGGAAUCUUCCGCAAUGGACGAAAGUCUGACGGAGCAACGCCGCGUGAGUGAAGAAGGUUUUCGGAUCGUAAAGCUCUGUUGUUUGAGACGAAUGUGCCUGUUUCGAAUAGGGAUAGGUAAUGACGGUAUUAAACGAGAAAGCCACGGCUAACUACGUGCCAGCCGCCGCAGUAA
Molecule: ribosomal RNA, 520 nt
Filed under: uncultured bacterium
Lineage: Bacteria
Description: partial 16S ribosomal RNA
Rfam family: Bacterial small subunit ribosomal RNA
Source: RNAcentral